CUCAAAAACCCCUGCGCUCACGCCCCUGUGCUCGCCGCCCGGAGGAGGAGUGUGUGUCAGCAUCGGAGGGCUGGAGCAACUGGGGACGGGUGCGUGGCGGGGAAACGGGGAGAAGACGAGUAGCGAAAGAUGCUGGAGAGGGGGGGGGGUAUGUGUCUUCGACGUCACCGUCAGACCUUAUUAGCACAAGCGGGAAUAUUCAAAAAAUCGACACGCGCUUUCCGUCUAAAGCUAAUUUCUUUCCCGACACGCAUGCUAAAGCGUGGGGUAUAGCGCGCCCUCCCACCACGGCGCACGCAAGAAAUUCACGCUAGCUGCCAUUUCCAGAUCAGCACCAUGGUCAGCACCCCACUACCCGCACAGGCUUUCAGUGUGGAGGGUCCUGCACUCACCCUGCAGAGGACGGGAUUUUAUUUAUUUAUUUAUUUGUUUUCCUUUUUUUCUAUUUUUUUAUGUUGCCGAUCAUUUCUAAAUGUUUGAGGAAGUGUGGAUAUGACUAUUGUAUAGAAAAUAUGUCACUGCUACCGCUGAAGUGCAAACGUCUUCCAAAUCAGCCUGAAUCUAGAACAACGUUCCCUCAUUUGCUAUGAUGUCUUAACAGAGCUCUUUUUUUAUUAUUACAAAAAAAAGGGGGGGGGGGGGGUUCUUGCACAACUACUACCUCACUUGUAAAUUAUUUAUCAGAUAUUUGAUUAACUCAAUUACAUAUUAAUGAAUGCAAAGUAAGACUUUUCACUUAUAAUGUGCGACAGCGGUCGUUCUGGUGACCCAAAGGUUGGUCAUAAGCAUAAUGAAGCUCGCUCAUCUCCUUAACUACAGCGAAUAAACACGCAGGCGCCCCAACACGAUGAGAUGCUGCCCUCUAGCGUCAGUGCGCCAAACUGCUAAGACCAGCUCUACAUGGCGUCCUUCCACCAUUCAUUGCACCAUAUAUACUUAGUUACUUUAUUCUUCAUCUUAUUCUUCCUGUGAUGUUUUAAAAAGUACAUCCGAAGGAUUAAGUAAUAUUUCAAAGUUAUGCAGAAGUAUUUGUAUUAGCAUUAAUAUAAUCAAUCAUGAUCAUAUUAACGCCCAUUUAAGUUUUUAAUGAUAAACCUUAAAAUCGUUGGAUACAAACCGUUGUAGAAACAGCCAUUCUGCAGUUCUCCAGUUUCCCAACAAUGCAAAUCUAACUCGCAACAAAUGCAAAUGUCCAAACGCGCCUGUUUCUCCGAAACCUCACUCACCGCGACAACCCAUUUAGACG
This is a long non-coding RNA of Astatotilapia calliptera (eastern happy), 1246 nucleotides long. NCBI's taxonomy places the organism in Eukaryota, Metazoa, Chordata, Actinopteri, Cichliformes, Cichlidae. The record is from Ensembl.